Molecule: unclassified non-coding RNA, 393 nt
Filed under: soil metagenome
Description: partial contains 5.8S ribosomal RNA, internal transcribed spacer 2, and large subunit ribosomal RNA
Rfam family: 5.8S ribosomal RNA (bases 1-122)
Source: RNAcentral
GAUGAAGAACGUAGCGAAAUGCGAUACUUGGUGUGAAUUGCAGAAUCCCGUGAACCAUCGAGUCUUUGAACGCAAGUUGCGCCCGAAGCCACUAGGCCGAGGGCACGCCUGCCUGGGCGUCACACGUCGUUGCCCCCCCCCCAUCUACUCCUUCGGGAUUGCGGGGGGCGGAUGAUGGCCUCCCGUGCGCCUCGCCGCGCGGUUGGCAUAAAUACCAAGUCCUCGGCGACGCACGCCACGACAAUCGGUGGUUGCGAAACCUCGGUUGCCCGUCGUGUGCGUUCGUCGCGCAUCGAGGGCUCGAAAAAAUGCUCGGCUCCGGCUCGGCUUUCAACGCGACCCCAGGUCAGGCGGGGUUACCCGCUGAAUUUAAGCAUAUCAAUAAGCGGAGGA